RNAcentral lists this ribosomal RNA (391 nucleotides) under uncultured Glomeromycotina. RNAcentral's name for it is "SSU rRNA". It matches the Rfam family "Eukaryotic small subunit ribosomal RNA", at positions 569 to 966 of the family's 1831-position model. Lineage: Eukaryota; Fungi; Glomeromycota. The record is from RNAcentral.
AGCAGCCGCGGUAAUUCCAGCUCCAAUAGCGUAUAUUAAAGUUGUUGCAGUUAAAAAGCUCGUAGUUGAAUUUCGGGAUCAAUUUAUUGGUCGUGCUAUUGUACGUACUGGUAUUAUUGAUUCCUACCUUCUGACGAACCAUGAUGUCAUUAAUUUGGUGUCUUGGGGAAUCAGGACUGUUACUUUGAAAAAUUAGAGUGUUUAAAGCAGGCUCACGCUUGAAUACAUUAGCAUGGAAUAACGAAAUAGGACGUUUGAUUCUAUUUUGUUGGUUUCUAGGAUCGACGUAAUGAUUAAUAGGGAUAGUUGGGGGCAUUAGUAUUCAAUUGUCAGAGGUGAAAUUCUUGGAUUUAUUGAAGACUAACUACUGCGAAAGCAUUUGCCAAGGAUG